CUUUUGCUAUUUUGUGACGUCAUAAUGGUCACAUAUACGCCAAUAAGAAUUCGAUGGACAUUAAUCUCUAACCUUAAACUCAAGUCAUCUUUGAUCACCUCCAAACACAUAUAAACAAGGUCAUAUUUUAUUCGGAAUCGCCCCAUUUCCUUUCAACAGUUUCCAUGACAAAAUCUCUCAUCCGUCCACAGUUUCUGAAAUGCACAAUAUGACGAUGCACUUCUGAUGGAUAUUUGAUUCCGACACAAGAAGCAGUUUCGUUUUAUGCCUGCAAACUACCAAUUAAUUGAAAAUCUGGUUGAGAUUAAUUCCAUGUUGUUGUUGUUGAUAAUAUUACUGCACUCUUUCAAGGCGGCACGUUGGCAGAAACGAUAGCACGCCAGGCGAAAUGCUUAGCGGUAUUUCGUCUUCCGAGGUCGACUUUGCCUUUCAUCCUCUCGGGGUCGAUUAAAUAAAUACCAGUUACGCACUGGGGUCGAUAUAAUCUA
Molecule: long non-coding RNA, 488 nt
Organism: Octopus bimaculoides (California two-spot octopus)
Lineage: Eukaryota; Metazoa; Mollusca; Cephalopoda; Octopoda; Octopodidae
Source: RefSeq, a predicted model, not a curated record